RNAcentral lists this long non-coding RNA (1436 nucleotides) under Citrus x clementina. Its description in RNAcentral is "Citrus clementina (C. clementina) long non-coding RNA (CCLE_LNC006831)". The record is from RNAcentral. Lineage: Eukaryota; Viridiplantae; Streptophyta; Magnoliopsida; Sapindales; Rutaceae.
GUGCCAAUUUGAAAGGUGCCAACCAGAACAAAACUCAAUUACACAUAUCUUUUAAUUUCCCGCUAGCUAGGAAUCAAAAUGUAAGAUAUUAGUUAAUAAGGAAUCAUUCAUUUUUAAUCUGUAUGCUGCUAGGGUUGGCACGAAGAUAAAAAUAAAGUAUACAAUACAAUAAUCCAAGUUGAAAUAUAAUCAACAUGUAGAUGUAGCUACUACUUGCAUCCUUCCAUUAUUGAUGCAACAACAUGAAGGUUUUGGAUUCAUAUACCUAUAUAUAUCCAUUAUGAUCUAGAACUAAGAGACUAAUCAAUAAAAAUAACUUAUCCAAUAAACAAUCAAUGUUCUAGAACAAUAAAUAACUAACAUUCGACAACAAUUUUCUUAGUAUAAUGUAACGAUCAAUGAUAAUUUUCCAAAGUUCUCACUUAUAUUUUAAUAUUUUCUGAUACUGAAACCGGCAGCAAAUGAGCAUGCAGCUAUAAGUCAAGGAAUUAUAUAAUUAAUUAUUUGUGAGAUGCCAUUGUGUACGCAAAUGCAAGCAACGCAAGUAAUUGUUAGUGAACUUGGAAGUAUUAUUUGAAAAGAGUUGAAAAGGGCAAAGAUUAUUAAUUAGGUGCAGGCCGUGAUUGGCAGAAAUUAAUUAUAUAUGUGCAGUGCACAGACUUAUCCAGAGAUGGAGAGGUGCACACAAUUAUGUUUAAAUGGAAAAUUUGUCUAAAUCUCUCUUUUGAGAAAUGAGAAAUUAGCUUUGCAUGUGGUGUUUUCUUGUCAUCUUUGAUGGAGAUUUGAAGAGGAUGACUGGGUGGGUUCUUCUCUCAAAUGGAUCUAAAACCACUUUUUAUUUAUCAUGUGAAAAUGAAAUGAAAACAAUGCAGAGACCAUAGAAUUGCAGACGUAUUCUUGAAGCAAGCAAAAGAGCCUAAAAGUUCACAACUUCAUUACAUCAAAAUGUGUGUUUCUUGGAGCUUAAUCGAUAAGUGAAAAAUAGGAUUAAACUAUGAUGCAACGGUUGAAACGUACAACGACUUUUGUUUUUUUUUUUGGUUUAAGUACAGAGCAGUCCUUCAUACUUUUUGUGAAAUUAAAAAAGAAGCAGAGGUUUCAAAUGUUUGCAUAUAAAUCCUGUUUGGAGAUGAUUUGGCAAUUGAAAAGAGUCUUUAACUCAGCCUAACACUCUUAAUUCUUAGAGCGAUGAUGAUUGAUGGCUGAGAAGAACGCAGAGGAGGCAACAAUGACCCAUUAAGUGCUACCUUUCUUUUAUAUUAUACUUUUUUUUUCUUUUUCUUUUUUACUCAGUCGAUAUGAUUUUGUGGGCUAUAUUAGAAAUUCAAAAUGACUCCAUUCAAUUUAAAGGACAAUGUUGGUAUUCUAUAAGUAAGCAAACAUGUUGUAUGAACUAAUAAAUUAUAUGUCAACUAAUAUUAAAAACAAAAAUAUAG